GGGAGGGACGGUGAUAUCGUGCAGGGAAUACCAA
Molecule: non-coding RNA, 34 nt
Filed under: Geobacter metallireducens GS-15
Lineage: Bacteria; Pseudomonadati; Thermodesulfobacteriota; Desulfuromonadia; Geobacterales; Geobacteraceae
Source: RNAcentral